CCUACGGGGGGCAGCAGUGGGGAAUAUUGGACAAUGGGGGCAACCCUGAUCCAGCCAUGCCGCGUGUGUGAAGAAGGCCCUCGGGUUGUAAAGCACUUUCAGUGAGGAAGAACGCCUGGUGGUUAAUACCCAUCAGGAAAGACAUCACUCACAGAAGAAGCACCGGCUAACUCCGUGCCAGCAGCCGCGGUAAUACGGAGGGUGCGAGCGUUAAUCGGAAUUACUGGGCGUAAAGCGCGCGUAGGUGGCUUGAUAAGCCGGUUGUGAAAGCCCCGGGCUCAACCUGGGAACGGCAUCCGGAACUGUCAAGCUAGAGUGCAGGAGAGGAAGGUAGAAUUCCCGGUGUAGCGGUGAAAUGCGUAGAGAUCGGGAGGAAUACCAGUGGCGAAGGCGGCCUUCUGGACUGACACUGACACUGAGGUGCGAAAGCGUGGGUAGCAAACAGGAUUAGAUACCCGGGGAGUC
Molecule: ribosomal RNA, 465 nt
Filed under: Vreelandella stevensii
Lineage: Bacteria; Pseudomonadati; Pseudomonadota; Gammaproteobacteria; Oceanospirillales; Halomonadaceae
Description: partial 16S ribosomal RNA
Rfam family: Bacterial small subunit ribosomal RNA
Source: RNAcentral